AUGCAGAAUGACACUGGUGAGUUCAUAGGCCUGUACAUGCCAUGGAAAUGGUCCAAUAGCAACUGCAUCAUCGAUGCCAAGGACCACAAAUCCAUCCAGAUGAACGGGGCCAAGGUUGACAAGGUAGCAGGCAGGUUUAACCACCAGUUUAAAACCUAUGCUAUCUGCAGGGCCAUUCGCAGGAUGGGUAAGUCACAUGACUGCAUUCUCCAAUUGGCCAAGACCGACGGAUUGUAUUAA
RNAcentral lists this long non-coding RNA (240 nucleotides) under Homo sapiens (human). Its description in RNAcentral is "non-protein coding lnc-UXS1-6:1". Lineage: Eukaryota; Metazoa; Chordata; Mammalia; Primates; Hominidae. The record is from RNAcentral.